CCUACGGGAGGCAGCAGUGAGGAAUAUUGGUCAAUGGCCGGAAGGCUGAACCAGCCAUGCCGCGUGAAGGUCAGUGCCCUAUGGGCGUUACACUUCUUUUGUGCGGGAGCAAUAAUGGUCACGUGUGGCCAGACGAGAGUACCGUACGAAUAAGCAUCGGCUAACUCCGUGCCAGCAGCCGCGGUAAUACGGGGGAUGCAAGCGUUAUCCGGAUUAAUGGGUUUUAAGGGGUGCGGAGGCUGUGAUGUAAGUCAGCGGUGCAAUGCCCCCGCUCAACGGGGUGAAGUGCCCUUGAUACUGCCUUGCUGGAAUGCGGAUGCCGUGGGAGGAAUGUGUGGGGUAGCGGUGAAAUGCAUAGAUAUCACACAGAACACCGAUUGCGAAGGCAUCUCACGAAUCCGCGAUUGACGCUGAUGCACGAAAGCGUGGGUAUCAAACAGGAUUAGAUACCCUGGUAGUC
This 460-nucleotide ribosomal RNA is filed under the name uncultured bacterium. RNAcentral's name for it is "partial 16S ribosomal RNA". It matches the Rfam family "Bacterial small subunit ribosomal RNA", at positions 338 to 795 of the family's 1533-position model. The record is from RNAcentral.